RNAcentral lists this ribosomal RNA (460 nucleotides) under uncultured bacterium. Its description in RNAcentral is "partial 16S ribosomal RNA". It matches the Rfam family "Bacterial small subunit ribosomal RNA", at positions 338 to 795 of the family's 1533-position model. The record is from RNAcentral.
CCUACGGGAGGCAGCAGUGAGGAAUAUUGGUCAAUGGACGAGAGUCUGAACCAGCCAAGUAGCGUGAAGGAUGACUGCCCUAUGGGUUGUAAACUUCUUUUAUAUGGGAAUAAAAUGUUCCACGUGUGGGAUUUUGUAUGUACCCUAUGAAUAAGGAUCGGCUAACUCCGUGCCUGCAGCCGCGGUAAUACGGAGGAUCCGAGCGUUAUCCGGAUUUAUUGGGUUUAAAGGGAGCGUAGGUGGAUUGUUAAGUCAGUUGUGAAAGUUUGCGGCUCAACCGUAAAAUUGCAGUUGAAACUGGCAGUCUGGAGUACAGUAGAGGUGGGCGGAAUUCGUGGUGUAGCGGUGAAAUGCUUAGAUAUCACGAAGAACUCCGAUUGCGAAGGCAGCUCACUGGACUGCAACUGACACUGAGGCUCGAAAGUGUGGGUAUCAAACAGGAUUAGAUACCCCAGUAGUC